This 492-nucleotide ribosomal RNA is filed under the name uncultured bacterium. RNAcentral's name for it is "partial 16S ribosomal RNA". It matches the Rfam family "Bacterial small subunit ribosomal RNA", at positions 29 to 507 of the family's 1533-position model. The record is from RNAcentral.
AGUGAACGCUGGCGGUAGGCCUAACACAUGCAAGUCGAACGGCAGCACAGUAAGAGCUUGCUCUUACGGGUGGCGAGUGGCGGACGGGUGAGGAAUACAUCGGAAUCUACUUUUUCGUGGGGGAUUACGUAGGGCAACUUACGCUAAUACCGCAUACGACCUACGGGUUAAAGCAGGGGAUCUUCGCACCUUUCGCGAUUCUAUUAGCCGAUGUCGGAUUAGCUAGUUGGCUGGGUAAAGGCCCACCAAGGCGACGAUCCGUAGCUGGUCUGAGAGGAUGAUCAGCCACACUGGAACUGAGACACGGUCCAGACUCCUACGGGAGGCAGCAGUGGGGAAUAUUGGACAAUGGGCGCAAGCCUGAUCCAGCCAUACCGCGUGAGUGAAGAAGGCCUUCGGGUUGUAAAGCCCUUUUGUUGGGAAAGAAAAGCAGCAGGUUAAUACCCCGAUGUUCUGGCGGUACCCAAAGAAUAAGCACCGGCUAACUUCGUG